Molecule: ribosomal RNA, 1465 nt
Filed under: Burkholderia sp. C20
Lineage: Bacteria; Pseudomonadati; Pseudomonadota; Betaproteobacteria; Burkholderiales; Burkholderiaceae
Description: bacterial SSU rRNA
Rfam family: Bacterial small subunit ribosomal RNA
Source: RNAcentral
UGGCGGCAUGCCUUACACAUGCAAGUCGAACGGCAGCACGGGUGCUUGCACCUGGUGGCGAGUGGCGAACGGGUGAGUAAUACAUCGGAACAUGUCCUGUAGUGGGGGAUAGCCCGGCGAAAGCCGGAUUAAUACCGCAUACGAUCUACGGAUGAAAGCGGGGGACCUUCGGGCCUCGCGCUAUAGGGUUGGCCGAUGGCUGAUUAGCUAGUUGGUGGGGUAAAGGCCUACCAAGGCGACGAUCAGUAGCUGGUCUGAGAGGACGACCAGCCACACUGGGACUGAGACACGGCCCAGACUCCUACGGGAGGCAGCAGUGGGGAAUUUUGGACAAUGGGCGAAAGCCUGAUCCAGCAAUGCCGCGUGUGUGAAGAAGGCCUUCGGGUUGUAAAGCACUUUUGUCCGGAAAGAAAUCCUUGGCUCUAAUACAGUCGGGGGAUGACGGUACCGGAAGAAUAAGCACCGGCUAACUACGUGCCAGCAGCCGCGGUAAUACGUAGGGUGCAAGCGUUAAUCGGAAUUACUGGGCGUAAAGCGUGCGCAGGCGGUUUGCUAAGACCGAUGUGAAAUCCCCGGGCUCAACCUGGGAACUGCAUUGGUGACUGGCAGGCUAGAGUAUGGCAGAGGGGGGUAGAAUUCCACGUGUAGCAGUGAAAUGCGUAGAGAUGUGGAGGAAUACCGAUGGCGAAGGCAGCCCCCUGGGCCAAUACUGACGCUCAUGCACGAAAGCGUGGGGAGCAAACAGGAUUAGAUACCCGUGGGUAGUCCACGCCCUAAACGAUGUCAACUAGUUGUUGGGGAUUCAUUUCCUUAGUAACGUAGCUAACGCGUGAAGUUGACCGCCUGGGGAGUACGGUCGCAAGAUUAAAACUCAAAGGAAUUGACGGGGACCCGCACAGCGGUGGAUGAUGUGGAUUAAUUCGAUGCAACGCGAAAAACCUUACCUACCCUUGACAUGGUCGGAAUCCUGCUGAGAGGCGGGAGUGCUCGAAAGAGAACCGGCGCACAGGUGCUGCAUGGCUGUCGUCAGCUCGUGUCGUGAGAUGUUGGGUUAAGUCCCGCAACGAGCGCAACCCUUGUCCUUAGUUGCUACGCAAGAGCACUCUAAGGAGACUGCCGGUGACAAACCGGAGGAAGGUGGGGAUGACGUCAAGUCCUCAUGGCCCUUAUGGGUAGGGCUUCACACGUCAUACAAUGGUCGGAACAGAGGGUUGCCAACCCGCGAGGGGGAGCUAAUCCCAGAAAACCGAUCGUAGUCCGGAUUGCACUCUGCAACUCGAGUGCAUGAAGCUGGAAUCGCUAGUAAUCGCGGAUCAGCAUGCCGCGGUGAAUACGUUCCCGGGUCUUGUACACACCGCCCGUCACACCAUGGGAGUGGGUUUUACCAGAAGUGGCUAGUCUAACCGCAAGGAGGACGGUCACCACGGUAGGAUUCAUGACUGGGGUGAAGUCGUAACAAGGUAGC